GAGCACGUAGGUGGGUUUGUAAGUCAGAUGUGAAAGCCUUCUGUUCAACGGAAGAAUUGCAUCUGAAACUGCGAGUCUUGAGUGUAGGAGGGGAGAAUGGAACUUCUGGUGGAGCGGUGAAAUGCGUAGAUAUCAGAAGGAACUCCGGCGGCGAAAGCGAUUCUCUGGCCUAUUACUGACACUUAGUGUGCGAAAGCUAGGGGAGCAAACGGGAUUAGAUACCCCGGUAGUCCUAGCCGUAAACGAUGGGCACUAAGUAGAGGGGUUUU
Molecule: ribosomal RNA, 269 nt
Filed under: uncultured Planctomycetales bacterium
Lineage: Bacteria; Pseudomonadati; Planctomycetota; Planctomycetia; Planctomycetales
Description: partial 16S ribosomal RNA
Rfam family: Bacterial small subunit ribosomal RNA
Source: RNAcentral